CUUGUGGAGAUAUAUUCUGCACAUUGCGAUAUGCUAUUUUAUAAGCACAUCUCCAUGUAUAGGUCUCACAUAUGCUAGCUACCUACUUGAGGUCUAGCAGUACCUAGCUUCUGAGAGCUUCAUAGGUACCUGGCGACUUACCGCCUCGUUACCUAUUUUUCGGACACUGAGUGUAAUUACGAAUACCACACAGACAUUUACCUUAAGAUUAUUUAUCUUACAAAAUAAUAACACAUCUUCAGUUGUAAUUCAAUGUAUUGUAUUCAAGUACAUAAUUACAACUUACUCAAGCUAUAUUAUUUAUACUGGCCUGUACAGUAUUACGGAAAGAAAGAGAUGGCAUUUUAUGCCUUAGAAAGUGCAAAGCACAUCACCACAGGGAAUAGGGAACAGUACACGGAUGUGGGAAGGUCCAUAUAUGUUACUCAAUAAGAUGAGAUUUACAAUAAGGAUCCUCGGAUGUUUUACGUAAUAACUCCUGGACCCGAGUGCAUCUGAACGACUCUAUCAACGUAACUGGAACACAGAACAUAUUCGAAAUAGAUCACUUGCUUCACCAGUUCAUAUUUCGUAUAUGACUGGACUUGUGCUACUAAUUUAGUCCAUUAGAUUUACGCAAAUAGCAUGGUAUAGGUGGUCCUAUACCAUCUCCGGAACAUUGAUAUCCGAUGUUUUAUCAUCGGGAGUCGCCAAAUGACUGGUUUCUCUAGCGUAUGUUCUCUCGUUACGAAGUAUAGAGUGAACUAAUCCGCUAGGUGUCGUAUUACGAAACUAUUUUUAAUGUUGGCUAGAGGCAGAACGAAUUUCUCUCGCUUACGCGACCGAAAAUGCAUCACAAUCUGUCUCUACAUAUGCCCCGAGUUUGUGUAAUGGCAUAGUGUUUACAUAAAUUCUCAAAUUAAGAGAUGAUUGCGAUCUCCUCUUCUUCUGCCCCGAAUUAUGUCAACAUUUGGUUAUUACGCUUGAACAUGGACCUUCCGAUAAAUGAAUGAAUGGAUAAAAUGGAAACUGUACUAGGUAAAAACAUAUUAAAAUACAUGGUUUGUAGAAUAAAAAAAAAUAAAAAAAUAGAUAACACUGCUUACUGAUAAGAGAAAAAGAAAAAAUUUUACAAUGCUUCUUGCUUAAAAGAUAAAAAAAAUAAUAAAAUAGUACAUGUAUGUGUUUUACGAAAUUUUUGAAUUAUUUGCAACUAAUAAUGUGUUUCUGUUUUUCUGUUUCAGGUUUCUAUCUUGAUGAUGAAUAAUGUCUUGGAUCAAUCUUCAUUUCAGUUGAAACCAUUUGUGAACAAUUAUCACGGGAAGUAUAUUUCUCUUGUGUUACGCAAUGUGAAAUGUUUGAAUACUUUGUGUCAAAUUGUUUCAUAGGAUCAGAAGAUUUUCAAAAUGGUUCAAUGUGUGAAUUUUUAUUCGGUGAGGAAUGGGAUGAGACCCAGGAUCAGUUCUAAGAUGAUAUGUUGUAUCAUUGUCGGCGCUUCGUUUUCACCUUUUUCAAUUGGAGUGGAUCGGUCGAGUAUGGAUUCCGCUUGUCUUACGUAUGUUACUGUUUCCUGUCUUUCAUGUGCUGUUCUUUGUAGCCAAUCUCAUAACUUAGAACCUUGAUCCUUAAACUCUUUUAACAGGAUUGGAGGUAAUAUCACUAUUGUUUCAGCUCCUUUGCGUUCCAAAGUGUUUAUUAAUCGUAAAUACUGAGAUUUUAACUUUUCUUCACAGGUCCCAUCCAUGAGGUCUUUGUGGCCUACCGACAUUAUUAUACCUCGCGUUGAUUUUAGAAGGUGUUUGUCAAUAUUGCGUUCGAGUUGGUCAACGGAGAUGUUUGGCUGUAUGAAGUCAUUAAAUUUCAUCGCAUCUACAUAACUGGGAUCUGCUUUUACGGCUGUGUGGACAAUUUGUUGGAUUGCUCCAUCUCCAAUCAUGAAAUGGUUUUGAAUCAAGAAGAUUGUUUCAGAACCACCAUUUCCAACUGUCAUUGAAAAACUUCUGAGAAAUAGAUGAUCUUUGAUCGGGCGUAUGUUAUUGUAUACUUCUUUUGGUGCUCUGUUCAUUAGCGGGUAACUGAAAUUUUCUAGCUCUUUUCGAAAUAAAGUGUAGUUAAUCGGUAAAUAUACUGUUUGAGCUCUUUUUUCUGCAUAGGUAUCUAUUGUUAUCGAGUUACGUAAAUGUUUGAUUGUCUUAAUCGCCGCAAAUUGUCCAGGUUUAGGGUAACAUUUAGAAGAUGGAUAAAUCAUCAGAGAUUUGUAGCGUUUCGAGUUGCGUCUUUCGUAAUCUUGUUUUCUUAAUUCAUGUCUUCUGUUAUAUCCUAAUGGUGUUCUCGGUAUGCGUGUUGAAUAUCGAUAGCUAGAAUAAUUUGGUUUUACGUAUGGUCGUUUGUAUACCGGAGACGUAGGGCGAAUACGUGUGAUUGUUGAUUUAGUUGGAGAUUUGCUACGUGGCGGUGUUAUUAAUUUUUUGCGUUCUGGUGAUUUUUUCUUCGGUGACAACUGUUUACGAUCAUUACUGCUUUGUCUUAUUUUAAUUAUAGUACUGUUUGCUUUUUUAAUAAUUGGAGAUUUAUCUUUUGUUCUUUGUUUUAUAGGUGAUAAUUCUUGGAUGUCUUCUUUUGCUAUCUUCGAGUUCGUUGAUUUUUUAUCUUCAUCAGACAUGCAUUCAUAUGAAGGGGUAAAAUUCAUCUCAAGCAUUUCUCCGUCGUCAUCAGUACGAUUAUUCUCUUCGGACAACGGUGAGUCAUGUUUAAUUUCCUCGAGUUUCGGUGCUGGUGUUGAAAAUUCUACUGUUUUCGUGAUUGCUUUCAGUUCUUUGAUUCGACUUACGAGGAAAGACGGUGUGUUACGAAAUUCAUCUAUCAUGGUAAUUUGCUUCAUGUUACCUUUUACGAAAUAAUGAGUGUCUGGUUGGAUUUCUUGGUCACAUCUAGGGAAUACGCAUUUUACAGCACCAGGUGGAGCAAUAUCUAUUACGUCUUUCAAACACUGCAGGUGAUACAGAUGCGUACACGUGGUUGCUACGAGAGGAUUUUCUAUUUGCUCGACGAUCGGGGGCUCAGCCAGUGAUUGAUUACAUGAUGAGCAAGACACGAUAUUCACUAUUCUGCUAUCCAUUUUCUGUCAACAUCAUGGGUAUUCGUUAAAUUUCAUGUAUUUUGUAUUACAUUAAUUUUCAUGCUGUUUUGUGUAAUUUUUACUGUUACAAAUGAAUCUGUACUUACGGAAAUUGUUGAUGUGAAUAAAUGGAAUUGUCUUGAUGUAA
Molecule: long non-coding RNA, 3245 nt
Organism: Planococcus citri (citrus mealybug)
Lineage: Eukaryota; Metazoa; Arthropoda; Insecta; Hemiptera; Pseudococcidae
Exons: 2
Source: RefSeq, a predicted model, not a curated record